This 329-nucleotide unclassified non-coding RNA is filed under the name soil metagenome. RNAcentral describes it as "partial contains 5.8S ribosomal RNA, internal transcribed spacer 2, and large subunit ribosomal RNA". The stretch from base 1 to 120 matches the Rfam family "5.8S ribosomal RNA", at positions 35 to 154 of the family's 154-position model. The record is from RNAcentral.
GAUGAAGAACGCAGCGAAAUGCGAUAAGUAAUGUGAAUUGCAGAAUUCAGUGAAUCAUCGAAUCUUUGAACGCACAUUGCGCCCCUCGGUAUUCCGGGGGGCAUGCCUGUUCGAGCGUCAUUAUAACCACUCAAGCUCUCGCUUGGUAUUGGGGUUCGCGGUUCCGCGGCCCCUAAAAUCAGUGGCGGUGCCUGUCGGCUCUACGCGUAGUAAUACUCCUCGCGAUUGAGUCCGGUAGGUCUACUUGCCAGCAACCCCCAAUUUUUACAGGUUGACCUCGGAUCAGGUAGGGAUACCCGCUGAACUUAAGCAUAUCAAUAAGCGGAGGA